UACGGGGGGGGCAAGCGUUGUUCGGAAUUACUGGGCGUAAAGGGCGCGUAGGCGGCCUGUUAAGUCGAACGUGAAAUCCCCGGGCUCAACCCGGGAACUGCGUCCGAUACUGGCAGGCUUGAAUCCGGGAGAGGGAUGCGGAAUUCCAGGUGUAGCGGUGAAAUGCGUAGAUAUCUGGAGGAACACCAAUUGCGAAGGCAGCUCGCUGGGACGUAACUGACGCUGAGACGCGAAAGCGUGGGGAGCAAACAGG
RNAcentral lists this ribosomal RNA (253 nucleotides) under uncultured bacterium. RNAcentral's name for it is "partial 16S ribosomal RNA". It matches the Rfam family "Bacterial small subunit ribosomal RNA", at positions 524 to 776 of the family's 1533-position model. The record is from RNAcentral.